GACGAACGCUGGCGGUGUGCUUAACACAUGCAAGUCGAACGGAAAGGCCCUGCUUUUGUGGGGUGCUCGAGUGGCGAACGGGUGAGUAACACGUGAGUAACCUGCCCUUGACUUUGGGAUAACUUCAGGAAACUGGGGCUAAUACCGGAUAGGAGCUCCUGCUGCAUGGUGGGGGUUGGAAAGUUUCGGCGGUUGGGGAUGGACUCGCGGCUUAUCAGCUUGUUGGCGGGGUAGUGGCUUACCAAGGCUUUGACGGGUAGCCGGCCUGAGAGGGUGACCGGCCACAUUGGGACUGAGAUACGGCCCAGACUCCUACGGGAGGCAGCAGUGGGGAAUAUUGCACAAUGGGCGGAAGCCUGAUGCAGCAACGCCGCGUGCGGGAUGACGGCCUUCGGGUGGUAAACCGCUUUCGCCUGUGACGAAGCGUGAGUGACGGUAAUGGGUAAAGAAGCACCGGCUAACUACGU
Molecule: ribosomal RNA, 467 nt
Filed under: uncultured bacterium
Lineage: Bacteria
Description: partial 16S ribosomal RNA
Rfam family: Bacterial small subunit ribosomal RNA
Source: RNAcentral